Molecule: transfer RNA, 74 nt
Filed under: Lujinxingia litoralis
Lineage: Bacteria; Deltaproteobacteria; Bradymonadales; Lujinxingiaceae
Rfam family: tRNA
About the family: Transfer RNA (tRNA) molecules are approximately 80 nucleotides in length. Their secondary structure includes four short double-helical elements and three loops (D, anti-codon, and T loops).
Source: Rfam by way of RNAcentral
GCGCCCGUAGCUCAGCUGGAUAGAGCGCCGGACUUCGAAUCCGUAGGUCGCAGGUUCGAAUCCUGCCGGGCGCA